Molecule: small RNA, 947 nt
Filed under: Pongo abelii (Sumatran orangutan)
Lineage: Eukaryota; Metazoa; Chordata; Mammalia; Primates; Hominidae
Description: processed transcript
Source: RNAcentral
CUCAGGCGGCUGAGUCACUGCAGCCCGGCGCGGCCCGGAGAAGACGAGCGCAGCAGCCGCCGCCGCCUCCCGGGCUCCCGGGCUCUCGGGGUCCGGGGCCUUUGCACUUGUCUUUUCCAGCUGGGAACAAAGCCUUUUGCUGUUGCCGUGGCGACUGCAGGCCUUCACUUUUAAUCCCCCUCAUUUUCCAGUUCAUUCUCUGCUUAUUUUCUGGUCAGUCCGUGACCCUGUAGGCGGGCUUGGACCGGCGAUCGAUUUGCCGCCCUCAGGGCGCUGGGCGGCCGGCUGCCUCUGAGGCUGGGGCGGCCUCCGCGGUCUCCAUGGUAACGGCCUCGCCGGCGUCUCCGCCUAGAGGGAAGAUGCGGCUUGCCUGGCCCGCCGCCUCGCCCCCGGCCUCACGGUGGGACCCUGGGUACUGAGGACGAAGGUCCCCGGCGCCGGCCCGCGGGGCAACGGGCAAUAGGUGAGAGCCGGACGCCGGCGAGCGAAGGAGGCGGGUGCCGGGCGACUCCAGCGGCCGCCCCUGCCCCUCCCCCGCACCCACGAACACGCUCGCCCGAUAUAUUGCAGAGGCUUCUCCGGUCGCCGCUGCGCCAGUUUUUUUUGUUUGUUGUGUUUUCCCUGGCAAACAGCUGGAGAAAGAGCAGCUCAUGGAGAGGCUGAGAGAAGCGGUUUUCGCGUCCUACCCAAACUGGGAGAGUAACCUUCAGCAGCUGGACUCACCGAUUGGUUUUCCUUCAUUUUCAGUGAAAUCCCAUUCUCUGGCUGGAGACACAGAUGGCCUCAAAUGAGAGAGAUGCUAUAUCGUGGUACCAAAAGAAGAUUGGAGCCUACGAUCAGCAGAUAUGGGAAAAGUCAAUCGAACAGACUCAGAUUAAGAAGACCGGAUUGAAGCUUGCUCUCUGGAGAGGCUGAGCCAGAGAAGUUCUGGAUUCUGGAAGACCAGA